CCACUAAAGCAAAAAGUCUCUGAAGUACAAAGAAUCAUUGGCUAAAUGCAUGUGGAAAAACUGGGACACUCUUACACUGCUGGUGAAUCUGUGAACUGAUAAAACCAUUCUGGAGAGCACUUUGGAAUCAUGCCCAAUGGUCCAUGAAACUAUAAUAUCCUUCAAUCUUUCAACCCAGGAAUACCAUUACCAGAUUAUCCCACCAUUAGAAUGUAAGGUCCUUGAGGGAAGGAACUUUUAA
Molecule: long non-coding RNA, 241 nt
Filed under: Monodelphis domestica (gray short-tailed opossum)
Lineage: Eukaryota; Metazoa; Chordata; Mammalia; Didelphimorphia; Didelphidae
Description: lncRNA (ENSMODG00000038933.1)
Source: RNAcentral